CAAUAGCGUAUAUUUAAGUUGUUGCAGUUAAAAAGCUCGUAGUCGGAUUUUGGCUGAGAACGAACGGUCCGCCGUUAGGUGUGCACUGUUUGGUCUCAGCUUCCUGGUGAGGAGGUGUGCUUCACGGCCACUUAGUCACCGUGGUUACUUUGAAAAAAUUAGAGUGUUCAAAGCGGGCUUACGCUUGAAUAUAUUAGCAUGGAAUAACACCAUAGGACUCCUGUCCUAUUUCGUUGGUCUCGGGACGGGAGUAAUGAUUAAGAGGAACAGUUGGGGGCAUUCGUAUUUCAUUGUCAGAGGUGAAAUUCUUGGAUUUAUGAAAGACGAACUUCUACGAAAGCAUUUGCCAAGGAUGUUUUCAUUGA
RNAcentral lists this ribosomal RNA (365 nucleotides) under uncultured eukaryote. Its description in RNAcentral is "partial 18S ribosomal RNA". It matches the Rfam family "Eukaryotic small subunit ribosomal RNA", at positions 592 to 976 of the family's 1831-position model. The record is from RNAcentral.